Molecule: ribosomal RNA, 293 nt
Filed under: uncultured bacterium
Lineage: Bacteria
Description: partial 16S ribosomal RNA
Rfam family: Bacterial small subunit ribosomal RNA
Source: RNAcentral
GUGCCAGCCGCCGCGGUAACACGUAGGGGGCAAGCGUUGUCCGGAUUUAUUGGGCGUAAAGAGCUCGUAGGCGGCUCGGUAAGUUGGGUGUUAAACCCCCAGGCUUAACCUGGGGACGCCACCCGAUACUGCCGUGGCUAGAGUCCGGUAGGGGAGCGUGGAAUUCCUGGUGUAGCGGUGAAAUGCGCAGAUAUCAGGAGGAACACCAGCGGCGAAGGCGGCGCUCUGGGCCGGAACUGACGCUGAGGAGCGAAAGCGUGGGUAGCAAACAGGAUUAGAUACCCUGGUAGUCC